GGGUCAGUAGGUUGGUCGUGCCACCGGUACGUACUGGUCACACUGAUUCCUCCUUCCUGAAGAACCGUAAUGCCAUUAAUUUGGUGUUGCGGGGAAACAGGACUGUUACUUUGAAAAAAUUAGAGUGUUUAAAGCAAGCUAACGCUUGAAUACAUUAGCACGGAAUAAUGAAAUAGGACGAUCGAUCCUAUUUUGUUGGUUUCUAGGAUUGACGUA
This 216-nucleotide ribosomal RNA is filed under the name Glomeromycotina sp. RNAcentral's name for it is "partial small subunit ribosomal RNA". The stretch from base 44 to 216 matches the Rfam family "Eukaryotic small subunit ribosomal RNA", at positions 690 to 864 of the family's 1831-position model. The record is from RNAcentral. Lineage: Eukaryota; Fungi; Glomeromycota.